UAUGAACAAAAAAAUAAGGACAAUUAUUAAAAUAUCAUACACACAUGCAACCAAUAUCAGCUGUAUGAUCUAGAAUAUAUUUUAAAUCAUUAUACUCAAUUUUAUAAAACACCUGAAAGAAUAGAAACAAGAUGAAAUAGAUUUCUAUAAAAAAUUUGGCAGGAAUUUGUACCAUGAUGGAUCCUGACAAAAUGAUCCUGUAAUAAAAUAAGUCAGGCAUAUCUUUAGAGCAAAAACCUGAUGACACACAUGGAACACGAACAAAAUACCAUCUCCAUGUGUGUUCCUAGAUGUAAGCAGUGAGAUCAUUAUGGACAGAUCCAGUUGAUCUGCUAGUGUCACUAUGUUUGAUACUGGUCUUUAUUUGCGUGCUUCCAACAUCAAUCAGUGACUGAGGAUCUUUAUGAUUGGCAAGCAUAUUUCAUUAAAAGAGUUCAUAGUUUCUUGUCCUCCUUACAGGAAAUUAACGUGAUCUAGUUUGUGUAGAUAAUAUUCUCUGGCAUUAUAUUUUGGUAUCAUGAAGGCAUAUUAAAUAUGUUCAUUUUUUAGAAAAGAAGAAUAGCUAUGUAUGCUAUUGGUGCAUCUUGCAUUAUCUGAGUAUGAGUAUUUGAGUGUGUAUGCGUGGUUUUUGCUGCAUCUCAUCUAGAGAAGCCAUUUUGUCCUUAAGCAUUAUGUAUAUGAAAGUUAAAAAAAGAAGCCAUUUUGUCCUUGUUGUUUUUGUUUUGAAGGUUUUCUUUAAUAUCCAUCCAAGUCUGAUGCUCUCAUGCUUUCAUCUAGGUUCCUGAGGUCUUCUGCUAUGCUCAGAAGGCAGUGUUGCAUCCAACUUCCCCACUUUUUGACUAAGAAACACAAUCUUUGAAGCCUAGAUGUGUGAGGGCUUUAAAACGGAUAUUUAUUUUAUGCGACCAUGACAGAGAUGGUGCCCUGAGUGAUGCAGAAUUGAACGAUUUUCAGGUUAGAUGUUUUAAUGCUCCUCUCCAACCUUCUGAAAUUGUUGGUGUCCAAAAGGUUGUACAGGAGAAAAUGCCUGAAGGUGUCAACGAACAUGGCCUUACCUUAACUGGAUUUCUUUUUCUUCAUGCCCUUUUUAUUGAAAAGGGCAGUCUUGAAACUACUUGGACAGUUUUUAGAAAUAUCCUCUCAUUCAAGUUUUAAAACUAAACUAAUCAUGCAAUAACUUCCCCCUCUCCUUAACCUUUGGAAUUAGGUAAGACCAAAUUCAAAUCACCAAGUAAAAAUAAAUCAAGAAGAAGAACUAAAAAUGCAGGUUAUUACAGGAUAAAAAAAAUAACAAGAAGAUUAGCAAACAAAAUAAAAUAACAAACUAAUAUAAAUCUUACCCAAUGUUUGCUUAAUUUUAGGUAUGAUUCAAGAAGUAAAAGGUGAAGAAGAGAGCGACGAACGACAGAAUGGCGAAGUUUUGUUAGAAGGGAAGCAGAUGCGUCGGCGUUGGUGUCGGUGUCGCUGUCGGCUUCGUCGUCAACGUUGGAUUUGGCGUCACCCUCGGCGUCGUCGAUGGUUGGGGAGGAGGCGGCUGCGGAGGAUGGAGGUCGCUCAUUGAGGAGAUCGUGAGAGGCCCAGAUGACGUAUAAAACGAGCGUCGGCUUCGGCGUCAGCGCCGUCGACAACGGAGAUCGCGCUCGGAGAAGGCGGAUCGCUCGCGCUCAGAGGAGAUCGCUCGAGAGAGGUCGCUUGGAGAAGUUCGCUCGAGAGAGAGUUCGGGACGAGGUACGCUUGGAAGCUAGGGCUUAUUUCCAAUCGCGGUAUUUGGCGCCUUAAUUUUCAUUUGCGCCAAUUAAUAACAUAGUAAGAAGCGGUUUAAGACCGGUGUGAUUUCCUGUCUAUAGCAGCCAUAUUUAAUUUGCUGCUAACAAAUGCUGCGAAAAAGAUAUAUUUUUAGUAGUGGUGGGAUGCCCCAAUAAUCAAAUUUAGAAGAAUUAUCUAUUUUAUCUUCUUAAUUAAUCAACCAAAGUUUCUAUAAAUCAUCAAAAUAAUAAAUCUACAUAUUUAGUUAAAGCAACUAAUAAUUAUAUAUCUCAAAAUAAUUCAAUAUAUUUAUUCUCCAAAUCAAUAUACAAUAGUAAGGAGAUUAGUACAAUUACUAUUCUAUCACAAACUCCCGACUACAAAAAUAAGAGAAAAUAUAAACAAAAUUAAAAGAAAAAUCUGAGGAUCUUUGUUAAUCUCACUCCAACUGAACCCUGGCCCCUUUCUAAAAAAUAUGUAAAACCAUAAAUUGAGCUGACAGCUUAGUAUGUUACCAAAAUAUACAAUUGAAAUGAAUGCAAGGCAAUAUGAACAAUAUGCAUGUACUCAUUCAAUCACUAUCAAUAUAAACAUAUAAUUGUAAAAGCAUAUAACAAUCAAUCACAUAGUCACAUAUCAUAUGAUCAAUAAGUAUCAGUAUAAUUAUAGUAGUGAUAUGUAACCAAUUGAACAUAUAUAAAAGGCCAGUAAACUCUACAAUUCAUAUACCUAUUUAUUAAGAACAAUUAUAUCAAUCUCAGUUCAGGAAAUUUGUAUACCUAUAAUAGCUAAAUGCAUAUCACAUAGUGUCUAUUAUAUGCAUGUACAUCAUGUAAAUCAUGUGAUUCAUAUAUAUCAAAAGACUUUGUAUCAAUUAUAUGAGUCUUAUCAUAUAUUUGUAUCUGUCAAAGCAUAUAUCUUAUAUAAAUUAUAUCAUGUCAAUUAUGUAAUUUAUCAAAUACAUUCCUAUCAUAUGCAUAUAUAAGUGCUAUAAGAAAGAAAAAUCAUCCAACUAUCUAUGAUAUUUUUCCUGUAUUUUGUCCUGUUGGUCAAUCCUACACGAAUCAGUCUCAAUUACAAGUCAUUUCGGUCAGGUGGCUUUUAUAUCAAAAGUCAUCACUUUCUAUCCGGUGGCAUAUCAUACUGUAUCCUUAUGUCUCCCUUUUUAUAUUAUUAUUUUAAAGGAAAGUCUGCCAGUCCAUCCUCCUAUACAGGGUAAUAUAUCUUUAGCCAACCUAAAUAAGUCAAUCAUAUAUGGCUAACAUUUCUUACAUACACAUAUUUCACAACAUAUAUAAUAAAAUAAACAUAUAUAAUAACACGCUCAAUAUUCAUUUCACUGCAUCAUCUUAAUACAUAUAAAAUUUAUAUAUAAACAAAAAAAAUAGUGAAAUUUAUAAGAAAAUGUAGUAGCCACUUUUUGAUAUGAAUGUAUCUAAAAUAGCCAAAUUAUAACAGUUACGCAUGUCAUAAAGAAUAUAAUAUAGUUUUAAUAAUUAGUUUACAUAUUUUUAAAUUUAUCCAAAUUACCCAAAUUACAAUAUUUUCCCUAAAUUAUAAAAAUACCAAAUAAAAAUUCAAGAUAUUCCUAUCAAAAUGCUCAUAUUGACAACAUCUACUACAUUCUAAAAAUCAUGCGGUGGAAGUUUUACCAAUAAAAAAUUAUCCUCGUUGGUCGGUAAUAAAAAUGUAAAUUUAAUAAAAAAAUAUCAAAUUAUUGAAAUUAUAAAUAGGAUAAUGAUUCCUUACAAUGAGAUGUGCAAAUCUCCCAACAUGAUCGAAGAAAUAAAAUUGCUCUACAUACUCCAAAUCCUAAGUUCUCUUUUCUCUCUCCUCAGUUUUGCUUUCAGAUUUCCCUAACUAAUCUCUAUUAGCCGAAAUGAAUAUGGAAAAUGGAUUUAAAAAGGUUUUAAUGAUUUUGCUAGUAACUUUGGAUAUUUUGAUUAAAAUAAUAAUAUAAUAUUAUAUAAUUAAUUUAAUCAAUUCAGUAUAAAAUUUAUAUAAAUUCUUUUGGGCUUCAAAUAGUAUAAAAAAUAUUCAUAAAAUAAUACAUUUUAUAAAAAAAUUUAUGGUUAUAUCAAUUUGCAAAAAGGACACCAAGCGGUCUUAAAAUCCCUACUUGUACCAACAAAUGUCAAAUUCAUAACGAUUUGCACCAGCAGCAAAAUAAUUAUGAAAAAAUUAUUAUAAUUAAAACAUAAUAAUAUCUAUCUUAUGAAAAAGUUAAUUUUCACUGACUUAUAAUGACUUCAACAAUAAUUUUUUAACUGGAUUAAAAUUUGGUUUAUUACAACAUGAAUUUUAAAAAACUCUAUAACUUCCUUCUCAGUUUGAGAGAAGAUAUUAGGAUGCAUAUUGAGAGAGAAGAUAUUAGGAUACAUAUAUCCAUGAUAAAAUGCAUUAUAUUUAGAGAGAUGGUGGAUAGUGUUAUAUAUGUUGAAAUAGAAAUUAAUGUUUGCGAAGAGAUGGAACAUGGGAAAUGAAAGAGCACAUACAUUUCAAACACAAGUGAUUCACAAAAAAGUAGCAUAAUAAUCAUCAUGGUCUUAAGAUAAAGAGUAAGCAACAAAAGACACUUUAGAUAAGGCAAUUUAACUUUUGGGAAAUGUUUUAACUAUAAUAUACUGAUCACAAAAUUAAAGAUUGUCCUCUCAAGACUCAAGAGCAAUAUGAUUUGAUAGUAACACGAAAUAAUAAUUUCAAACUUCAACAUAUAAAUGGGUAACUAAAAUCAUUUGGAGGUCAAUAUCACAAAAAAAAAGGGAUAUAGUAGGCAAUACAAUAUUAUCUUUAGCCUCAUCAAUAAUCAAAAGUAGUUCUGGCACGUCAGCCAUAUCAAUGGCAUCCACCUACAUUACAGUACCAGCAACCCCAACUUUCAAUGUUAUCUAAAUAAUAAUAGCUAAUGGUAUAAUAUCAACCAUCACAACCUCAGCCUUAAUAAUAGUCAUAAUAGGCAAUUCCAUCUUGAGUAUUUGUUUUAACCAACAAGAGGCGCACGAAGCUCCUAAAGUGGUGACAUAUAUCAUUUAUAUUUUUAAACAAUUAGUAAGUGUUUGUUUAAAUCUAAGGCAUCACAUUCAUUCAAUUCAUAUAAAUUUGCAUCAAUCAUAUCAAUAUCACAUUUGUAAUCUCAUUUUCUCUAUUAUUAUGCCAUCAAUUUCAUCUAUGAUAGUUACUCUCAGUAUGUUCAUGAUUGUGACAUAAAAAAUACAUAUAUAAUUUUAAUACUCAUUUUAUUCUCAUUCGCUGAGUUUGAUGCAAUAUUGGAUGUGGACUAGUUAUCAUGCCGUAAUAGAUUAUUAUAAGAGAAGAUGAAAUUUUUAUAUAUUUGGAAUAGUACUUUUUUAACUUCAAUGGUGUUAGGAGAACAAUAUUUGUUUUAAUUUUGAAGUUUGUUUUCAAUAGAGAUCCUGAAAACUUUUUAACUAUCUCUGUUGCAAUAGAUCUUAAAUUUUAAUAAUCAUUAGGGUUCUCUACAUCAGCAAAUGCAUGAGAGUUGUGGAGCUGCAAACACUCAUCUUCCUUUAUGCCAUUUAAUCUAUAUGUUUUCCCUGCCUCUAAAUCUCAAUGAUUCUCCCUUCCAUUGCAGCCUGGAACAUUUGUACUUUUAAUAGCCAAGACAGGGUUCUAUGUUGUAAGAAUUUGGUUAGCAAUGCUAGUUUUGAUAUGCUCUGUAUAUUAGAGAAUAGAAUUAAUAUCUCUACUCUCUCUGAGCCCUGGUUUCGCAUGACCCAUUCUAUUUUUUGAGAAUGAAGAUAGCUUUAACAAUUUUGAGCUUUUGGAUCUGAGCCAUACUUGUAUCAAAUGCAAUAAAGCUAGAAUCAAUUUUGACCCCAUUUUUGUUUAUGAUCAAAUGAUAUGUGGGACUUCUUUUCUGCUCUGUGUCAUCUAUGCUACUAACUCGCAAUAUGAGUGUGUUAUUAUGGGAUCAUAUCAGAAACAUCUCUUCAUCUGCUUCCCUUCCUUGGGUGGUUCUUGGAGACUUUAACUACUGCAGAUUUUCCACUACGAAAGUGGGUGGAAAUGAAUUUCAUAAUAGUAUAUUGUGGGACUUUAACUCUCUCAUUUUUUAUAUUGGUUUGAAAGAGUUAGCCUUUGUUGGUUCUUUCUA
Long non-coding RNA from Dendrobium catenatum, 5860 nucleotides. RefSeq lists it as uncharacterized. The transcript has 2 exons. The record is from RefSeq and is a predicted model, not a curated record. NCBI's taxonomy places the organism in Eukaryota, Viridiplantae, Streptophyta, Magnoliopsida, Asparagales, Orchidaceae.